UCUGUGCUAAAGUUUAGUGUACAGGAUUUUUAUUAAUGAGUGCCUAUGGAUCCAUACUUGUUGAAGGAAGGCAAUAAAGCAGAUGUGGUGUGGACUAAGGAAGAAGUUAAUCUCUGAUGCAGGCCCAGCAACAAACUAGUUUGACUCUUUGGGAGUUCUAGUGCUAGAAUGGACCUUUGGAGUCUUCCUGAGAUCUUGUAGGAUUCCUCAAGCUGAGCAACAAGUGAGUUCUUGGAACUACCUGCAAAUCCAUUCCUCAGCAUCGAGACAGAAUUCCCUGCUGACAUGAUAAUGGAAAGAGAGGAAAAAAGGGGUUUCUGAGGCAGAGCAGCAUAAAGAGACACAAGGAGACAUGAAAUUAUAUGGCUUGCUCACACAACGCUGGUAGUGAAGUAUGGCUGAAACCUCAAAGGCUGCAGAUGGAGUGUUAAUAUGUUUUCAAUGACGCAUUUGCAAGUUUUGACUUAUUCUAUAGUCAAAGAAUUUUCUUUCUACCAAUAAGAAUUUCAUGGACUAUUACAUCCCAGUGCUGUGGUUUUGUUUCCCUUCAUUAAUAGCUCCUUAAUCAUCUAGCUUGCUUCCCUGGCUGAGAGAGAACUUUGGCAUCCAAAGGGGCUUCUUCCAGGACUCCUGAGAUAAAUGGUGGUUUGGGCUGACUGCCAGCAAAUCGAAGCCUGCGCAAGUUUAUCUAAUUUGUUGAUUUUGAACUUUCAAGAGAAAUGAGAACACCUUGAAAGGAGAAUCACUGCUCGUAACUUUUAGUCAUUCUAAUGGCCUUUAUCUACUCACUGAAACUCAAUUAUGCAUACAAAGAGAGUUUGAGAUAGUUUAACCACUCUUCCUCAGAGUAUUGGCAAUCUGCGGUGACACGGAGGGCUGUCAGCGAGCUGCAGUGUGCCUCCACGUACUGAUCCUGAGCAUCCUCCAACCUGCCUGCAAGGCAACAUUUUACAUCAUUGUGGAGACCCACUUUAGAAGUUCCUUGAGACUAGAGUCUUUAUGCAAUUAAAAGACAUCCUGACUUUGAGGACAUUAUGCUUGAUCCAGAUAAUUUAAAAGUAAUGAUGAGUUCUGAGCUUGGAGCCUGUUCAUAUCCAUGUCUAAGAGCUGUGGAUCAGUAGGAAAGAUUGGGACCAUUAGAAAUCACUAAAAACUAGGAAGGAGGAAACAGCCAUCUGAAAAUGUAUUGGCCAUCAUAUUGUUUUGAGAUGAUGAAAGCAACCACAGAGUAGUAGAAUAUCCUGGACGUCUCUAACAGUUCAUCAGAAUCGGUUAAGUCCAAUGAAACGCUUGGAAAGAUAUCUGAGAAGAGGAAAACAAAAUGCCAAUCUUAGCUACCAAGUAGUUGGUUUAACCUCAGUUGUUUUGACUGAAAUAUCUA
Molecule: long non-coding RNA, 1381 nt
Organism: Canis lupus familiaris (dog)
Lineage: Eukaryota; Metazoa; Chordata; Mammalia; Carnivora; Canidae
Exons: 10
Source: RefSeq, a predicted model, not a curated record